Molecule: long non-coding RNA, 3479 nt
Organism: Apis cerana (Asiatic honeybee)
Lineage: Eukaryota; Metazoa; Arthropoda; Insecta; Hymenoptera; Apidae
Source: RefSeq, a predicted model, not a curated record
CAACAUCGGAUGCAAGAACGUCUUAAAUCAGAACUAACAAUAAACUUACUUACUUACUUACUUUCUCCUACUUUGCAUUCCGCGUCCUUUUUUCUUUUUUUUAUCUUUUUAAAUAUCUUUCGAUAAGGCAGAAAUCCGCAGAGAAAGUUCGACGACAGAAACCUCUGGUUCAAUUAACCGUGCUUUUUUGCUCGAGAAUUGUACGUUUACACUUGCGAUCGUGAGAAACAAUCGAAAUUUUUAUUAUUUCGCGACGAAUUUCAAAAAUUUAUAUCAUCGUUGGAAUGAAUCCACGAAAAACCUAUCAUUUUCUUUCUCCUAAAUUUGUCGCGUUAAUUUACCGUCCUAUCGAAUGGGGAAAAUUUCGUGACGCCGUUCGAAACGUCGUAACGGCUACAGCGUCACGGCCCGUUUUCGUGGAACAUGCUAUGUUUUUCCAGCUACGAAGGGGUGGCUUUUAACUUUAAGGCGGCUCCCCGUUUCUAUUAAUUCGAAUUACGGUCGGACUUUGCACCGCGACGCGGAUACGUGCGACGUCUGUUUAACGAUGUUUCAGCGUCGUUUGUAUGCCACGCGUUCUAUUCUCAGCGCCGUGCAACCAUUGCGAAAUAAACACGAUUAUACGCGGAGACUGGCGCAAAUUUCGAACUGGUGCCCAGUGUUAUAGUUAUUUCUCCUUAAAAACGAAAUAAAAAUGUAGAGGGGAAACAAUUCGGAGGAGAGAUAUAAAUAUAAAGAUACGAACAAGAUUAUUCUUCUUGUAUUCUUCUUGUAAUCGUUUAUAAUUUUUCAUUUAAUCAAUAAGGUUCCAAAAAAUAAUUUUGCAAGUAUAAUAAAUAAUAUGAAUGAAUUUUUUGCUUAUUUUGUAUCAUAGACAUGUAUAUCGCCCAUUUCUAUUUAUAUUCAUGUAAGUGUAGUUGGGAAUAAAAGGAGCUCGACUAAAAUUUGAAUAAUCAGACGCUACGUAAAAAUACAGAGUUCCGCUGUACAUCUUUUAGGAAAAUGGAAAUUUUAUUUAUCCUCAUAUUUUUAAUAUUUAAUAUUAUAUAACAGCGAGUAGAGAUCAAUGUCGUCAUACCAAUCGUUUCAAAUUUAAAUACACGCAGUCAAUUUGAGCGUGAAAUUAUCAUUAUCGAGGCAAAGAAUUCUUAAUUAUCCGUUAAUUAAUGAUAAAAUCGAUACGCUCUUCCCUGAAUUGGCCGCAUAGUUUAAAACAUGCCAAGUUAUCCGCGUCUUUAAAACGUCGUCUUCACCCAUCCAGAGAUGAUAUUCUAUUAAUUUGAAUCACGAACGGACUUUGCGUCACGUGCGACGUCUGUUUAAUUGCGAUCCCGUGUAUUUGGCGAAUGCCACGAAUUUAAUGUCUAUGGCGUGGCCGAGAGUAUCGAGAAGUAUCCGGGAAUAUUCGAAAAUUUCGUUAAAUUAUUUCAAGUUCACCGUGCGUAAUUUAACGCAAUGAAAUGAAUUCGUUGAAUUUUUACAAUGAUUUUCAUACAACGGAAAUUCCAUUAAAUGCGAACACGAAUUUUUAACAAUCGUUGAAUGCACGAACGAUUCGAUACCAAGAUGUUUAAUGGCUGAAGAACUGGAAAAGUGCUGGAAAUUUUAAAUAUUUGCUCGGUACGCUUCAUAAAGAAGCAAUAAUUAAAAUAACGAAAAUAAAAAAUAGGAAAAAAUUGCGUUUUAGACUUUGCUUUUUUAAUAAUUGAUAAUCGGAGGGCUGAGAUAAUCAAGUGCAAGAUUGAUAGAAAAUGAAACCAUAUAUUAUAUAUUACAAUAUUAGUUACAAUUUAAAACCAACCCAAUAUGAAAGAGAACGUAAAAAUAUACUAAGAAAGCUAUUCUUUUCUUAAAUAUUCAUUUCUAAAUAUGAACUCGAAAUAAUUUCCAUGUAACUUAUGUCAUAUAUUUAAACGGUAUAAAAUACUCGAGCAAUCUUCAGUUCAGAGCAUGAAACCAAGUUUCAUCCAAAAGCGUAUCUCCGCCGUAAGUUUGUGAACCGUAAAUCUUACGGGAUUGAAUCUCACCUCCGAAACGCAAGGUUUUAUCGUUAAUAAACGCAAAUACUUGGCGCAAUAUUGCUUAUGCGAAUAUUGAUACACAUUAACUGUCGAAGCGAUAGGAACAUUGUCGACGACAAUGGCGGGAAGAACGGUGCCGCAAGCACCUUAUUGAACAACGAUAUUAAUGCUCUGUGUGCGUGGAAGUUUGCAAACGAUGCUGGGGACGCGUAAUCGCGUGAAACAUCGCAGUAAGGGUUGGAUUUAACGACUCGCCAGAUUCCUUCGCCUCAUCUCAUCUAUUUCAGUCCCAAAAUCACUUCUGUGAUUGCACUAUUCAAAUUAGGGAAGCACGGAUAUUUAUAAUUAUAACGAAAAAUCGUAUUUAAGUGUUUUCUUUUCCGUUUCUUUAAUUUUUACUGUUUAAACAAAUUUUUACUUCAGAGAUACAAAAAAAUGUUGAUAAAAAUUAAUUUUUGCUUGGCGCUGAAGUGAUUUUUCUUUUUCCAAAAGUGAAACGAACAUCGAAAGAACACCAUUUCAUGACACUAAUAGCAUAAAACAGCAUAAAAUUCCAUAAAAUCACUUUCAAUAUUUUUUUUCAACGGUGGGUAACACGAGAAAUGCUCGCUUCUUUACCGUAAAUGGAAAAAUUAUUUAACAUGGCAAGCGACGUAAAAAAGAAGGAAGAAAAACAGGUGGCGCGAUGUGCACACGAAGCUGGAUGAUGUACAAGUGUUAAGUCGCGCGCGAGAAGCAUGCACAUAAGGCGAGAGCAUAUAUUUCGCGCAUGCAAUCCACCAGUAUGGAAGAGAAAUAAUAUAUAACGAGCAGGAGAAGAUGAAAGGUGGUGGUGGUGGAAAAAAAUAAGAGGCGAAAUUUGCCGAGAAUCAAGGAAAAAAGUGUACAAACCUUGGUGGUUCUUGACGUGCCCGCUCUUUUUCGCGGUUAAGCCCGUCUCUCUUUUGUCCUCACACAAGUGAACGCGUGGCUGUGCCUUUGAAAAUAUUAACCUAGGUCUUAAGAAAGCCAUAGUUCCUCCAAGUUUUCGCAGUUUCAAAACUUAAGACGCAACGAAACAAUUCACAUGGUUCGCCUCGUUUUUUUCAAAUUGACUGCACGACCGAUGAGACUUUAAGAUAUGGAAAAUGAAUUGGAUGUUUAUUUAUACCAUUUGUUCAUUCUCUUUGCUUUCUCUUACCAAUCUUACUUUCGUUGGAUAAGUCAUUAAUAUAGCAUACAAAUAUUUAAAAUAUAUUUUCGUUGCGAUUCAACCACAACGCGUAUCCUGCAAAUGACAGUGUGGUACGAAAAGAAUACAUAUACAUAAAUAAAAUAUGAUUUUUGUCACGUAACAGUUUCGAUGCAUUAGUUAUGCUGUGUUAAACUUCUUGCAUAUGAAAAAGAAAAAAAACAAAAAGAAUAUCCUUUUCAUAGAACGUAGUUAUUAUAAUAAAAAUAAAUUAUUAUAUUACUUCA